Long non-coding RNA from Arabidopsis thaliana (thale cress), 409 nucleotides. RefSeq annotates it as other RNA. The record is from RefSeq. The transcript is spliced from 2 exons. Lineage: Eukaryota; Viridiplantae; Streptophyta; Magnoliopsida; Brassicales; Brassicaceae.
GAAACUGUUCUUCCUCCUUCCUCUUUUCUCUUUUUCUUCUUUCUUUGCUUCGCUUAGCUUCGAUCUGGUUCAGUCUUCUUCACUUAAUACUUCUCAUAAGUAUUAAGAACAAGAAAUCACUUUGCCACUGUUUCUCCUUCGUGGUGAUGAUGAUUUCUCGUCUGUCAUGUUUCGACCUUCAUCUCCGUGAUUAUCCCUUCUUGCCUCUAAUCUGUUUGCGUUCCCCUUCAAUGACCAAUGCUUGUUUCUCUUUCUCAUGAGUCAGAUCACAACAAAGCGUCAACACCGCUACAAGAAAAUGAUUUUAUUAUGACCAAAUAUUUACUCAUAAUAAUAAAUGUUUUGUCACAAUAAAAGUAUUGAUACGCAUCCGUGACGUUUUGCAAACAGUUGCAAUACACUCGUCACA